Molecule: ribosomal RNA, 253 nt
Filed under: uncultured bacterium
Lineage: Bacteria
Description: partial 16S ribosomal RNA
Rfam family: Bacterial small subunit ribosomal RNA
Source: RNAcentral
UACGUAGGGUGCGAGCGUUAAUCGGAAUUACUGGGCGUAAAGCGUGCGCAGGCGGUUCGUUGUGUCGGCGGUGAAAGCCCCGGGCUCAACCUGGGAAUGGCCGUUGAAACUGGCGAACUGGAGUGUGGCAGAGGGGGGUGGAAUUCCGCGUGUAGCAGUGAAAUGCGUAGAGAUGCGGAGGAACACCGAUGGCGAAGGCGGCAUCCUGGACCAACACUGACACUGAGGAGCGAAAGCCAGGGGAGCAAACGGG